This 460-nucleotide ribosomal RNA is filed under the name uncultured bacterium. RNAcentral's name for it is "partial 16S ribosomal RNA". It matches the Rfam family "Bacterial small subunit ribosomal RNA", at positions 338 to 795 of the family's 1533-position model. The record is from RNAcentral.
CCUACGGGAGGCAGCAGUGAGGAAUAUUGGUCAAUGGACGAGAGUCUGAACCAGCCAAGUAGCGUGAAGGAUGACUGCCCUAUGGGUUGUAAACUUCUUUUAUAAAGGAAUAAAACGAGGCACGUGUGCCUUUUUGCAUGUACUUUAUGAAUAAGGAUCGGCUAACUCCGUGCCAGCAGCCGCGGUAAUACGGAGGAUCCGAGCGUUAUCAGGAUUUAUUGGGUUUAAAGGGAGCGUAGAUGGGUUGUUAAGUCAGUUGUGAAAGGUUGCGGCUCAACCGUAAAAUUGCAAUUGAUACUGGCAGUCUUGAGUACAGUUGAGGUAGGCGGAAUUCGUGGUGUAGCGGUGAAAUGCUUAGAUAUCACGAAGAACUCCGAUUGCGAAGGCAGCUUACUAAACUGCCACUGACAUUGAUGCUCGAAAGUGUGGGUAUCAAACAGGAUUAGAUACCCGAGUAGUC